Molecule: long non-coding RNA, 1361 nt
Filed under: Dasypus novemcinctus (nine-banded armadillo)
Lineage: Eukaryota; Metazoa; Chordata; Mammalia; Cingulata; Dasypodidae
Description: lncRNA (ENSDNOG00000051749.1)
Source: RNAcentral
AUGGGGCAGAACGCUCCCACCCUGGAGAGGCUACCGACUGCUGUCGUUCAACCUGCUUCUCCACUCCGUGUGCCGUUAAAGCGUCCCGUUGAACCUCCAAACCCAUGUAGACGCAAGGCCAGAUCCGCAGCCUCUCGCAGAGCCAGAAGGCCAGGCAACACCAGGCUCCCGUUCUGGCAGGAGCCAAAGGGGCAGGUUCAAAGGGGCAAGAGCCUCCAGCUUGCCCAGACCUCUACUUCUGUGUGCAUUUCCUGCCUCCCCCCGCAGUGGGCCUCCUGGUCCCAUAGUGGGGGGGCUGGUGAGAAGGAGGCUCAUCGUCCCCACUUGCAGGGAGCUGACACCCCUGGAGGAAGCCUCGCUACAGAACCAGAAGCUGCAGGCCGCCUACGAGGCCCGCCUGGCCCGGCUGGACGCCACCCAGGCUGUGCAGAAGACGUCGCUGACCCUGUCCCUGCAGCGGCAGAUGAUGGAGAACCUGGUGAUUGCCAAAGCGCGUGAGCAGACGGCAUCCUUUCUGCACGUCCUGGACUUGGGCUAAGGCAGGAGAAGGCCGCUGUGCGGGGCGAGCACGGCCCCCCGCCCCGCCGCUCCGGGCCUCCCAUCCUUCAAGUCCGCUGGGCACCGCCCCCCAGCCCUCCUCCCCAAGUUGGCACCUGCCAGGCUCCCCUUCCCCAUCGCUUCCGCCCUCCUGCACUGUGCGUGGCCCCUGGGACACCCUGGCGGUCAGCAGAUACCUGGAGUGGGGCCCUCAUCAGACCCCGGGGGGUCUGCGGGGGACAAGGGCCGGGUCGGGGUGGGCGCACCUCUGGCCGGGGAAGCUCCUUGACUCACUGUCCAGCUCCAGAGGAAGGCUGAGGAGCGGCGGCUGCGGCUGCAGGAGGCUGCGGACAGGUGCGCCCCUCUCGUUCGCACCCAGGACACGCGUCGGGUGGGGGGCUUUCCCACAGGCCCACCCAGGCCUUUCUUCCCAGGAGGUUCUGCAGCCAGGUGGUCCUGACCCCGGAGGAGCGGGAGCAGCGGGCCCUCUACGCGGCCGUUCUGGAGUACGAGCAGGACCACGUGAGCCCCGCGGGCCGGGGGUCGCCCUGGGCUCUUCCUGGGUGCACCGUGGUGGGGGGCGAGGGGCAGCGGGCGCGGUGCUGUCGCCGAGGCGCUCUGUCCUGCAGGACUGGCCGAAGCUCUGGAGGGCCAAACUCAAGAGGAGCCCCGGGGACCUGGCGCUGGUGACCGGCCUGGUCUCCCACCUGCUCAGGUACCCUCGAGCCCCUCCCCGCCGGCCGGUUGAUGGAGAGCACAAAGGAUGGGCUAGGAGGGGGGGCGCAUGGCAGGAGGGAGUGCCCCGGGCACCCGGGGACUGGCCC